UUGAACAAUAUUUAUUGAAAUAAAUAGUAAGAAAUAAUUAUUAUGUUAUAGCCAAUAAUAUUAAACUCAUUAAUGAAUGUAAUUAAAUUGAUUGAUCAAUCAUACGCUAUUAAUCAACUUAAAUAUUAAAAAUUGUAACACUUCUCUCUGAAACGCGAAUUUCAUGAAUUAUUUUGAUCGGUGAGCUAUUUUAUAAAUAAUUAUAAACAAUAAAAAAAGAGGAUUUGAAAUAAUAGAAAAAGUGAUUGAUAUAAUGAGGUGGUGUUAAGUGCUUACAAAAGUGUAAUUGUGAAAUAAUACUCCAAUUUGAAAUUCUUAUCAAGGAAUUUGAAUACAAGAUAAAGCUUGGAAGCCAGCUCUUCUCAGCCUACUGGCCUUCAUGCUUCUAAUCAACGGAUGCAUGUACCCAUUAGGGUGCUUAUUGUGCGUGGGUGUACGACCAAUACAUUGAGGGACAAAGUCCAAGGAUCAAUGAAAAUUGCGUGACUGCUGGAAAACAAAAAGAAGAGCCAAAAGCAUUAUACACUUUCAGGGUGUCUAUAUAUAAUACUUGAAAAAGUUAAAUGCUAGCAAGCUAUCUAGACGAUCGCGCAUCUGCCGGGCAUUUUGGUGAAUCAUUCGGGUGUCUGAACUAUAUUAUGGCUUCCGUACAUAGUCCACGGGUGUUCCGGAAUAUUGCCUUCCCCGUUCUAGAGCAAAAGCUUCACGGUCAGCUGGAGAAGUCGGCUGUAAGUAUGAAGUACAUAAAGCCAACAAAUCGUUGGAUUCUCAAAAACGCACGCCCUCGAAAAGGCCAUAGGUGUAUCAAGCUAGCGGAAUGAACAAUCCACUCAUCAGUGUCCACGUGUCAGGCACGUGCCAGAGUGUGCUAGGACAACUGGUGUCCUAAAAGUUCUCUAGCACCAUGUGUACACUCCAGUAGGAAUAAAAGAAGACACACGUCGAUGUGGGAUGACAUUUAGUUCAUGAAUGAACACACUCAAGAUCGACUUGGAUUUAAUUUUAUCAGAAAAAACGGAAUAAUUUUAAUACUAAUGUUUUAUUUAUCAUCACAUUUUGAUGAUUAGAUAUGGUAAAAGGAUACAUGAUGAAAAACUAAUAGCCCGCAUGAUCAAAAAGAGAAGCGAAAGAGAUUACUAACAACUUGAAAGUUAGCUUUUAAUCGCAAUUCUGACAAUAGUAUUGUUGGACUCAAGAGCUGUAUCACCAACUGGUAGUAUUGGAGCGCGAGGUGAGUAAAUUCAGUGACAUAUGGGUUCAAAAGAUCGACAAGUCAUAGGGUUGCUA
Molecule: long non-coding RNA, 1287 nt
Organism: Chelonus insularis
Lineage: Eukaryota; Metazoa; Arthropoda; Insecta; Hymenoptera; Braconidae
Exons: 4
Source: RefSeq, a predicted model, not a curated record